Small nucleolar RNA from Otolemur garnettii (small-eared galago), 128 nucleotides. NCBI's taxonomy places the organism in Eukaryota, Metazoa, Chordata, Mammalia, Primates, Galagidae. The record is from Ensembl.
AGGGUCUGCUCUGAACAGGGCCUGAAGAAAUGUCUUCUCCAUCUACAAGACACCCUACAGCAAUCUGGGGUCAUUGUGAUGGGGGGCACAAAACCUGUGGCCUUCCCACGAACAAACUCUCUACAUGU